Molecule: ribosomal RNA, 452 nt
Filed under: uncultured bacterium
Lineage: Bacteria
Description: bacterial SSU rRNA
Rfam family: Bacterial small subunit ribosomal RNA
Source: RNAcentral
GCAUAACGCGAAGAACCUUACCCACCUUUGACAUGGCAGGAAUCCUUCAGAGACGAAGGAGUGCUCGCAAGAGAGCCUGCACACAGGUGCUGCAUGGCUGUCGUCAGCUCGUGUCGUGAGAUGUUGGGUUAAGUCCCGCAACGAGCGCAACCCUUGCCAUCAGUUGCUACGAAAGGGCACUCUGAUGGGACUGCCGGUGACAAACCGGAGGAAGGUGGGGAUGACGUCAAGUCCUCAUGGCCCUUAUAGGUGGGGCUACACACGUCAUACAAUGGCCGGUACAAAGGGCAGCGAAGCCGCGAGGUGAAGCCAAUCCCAUAAAGCCGGUCGUAGUCCGGAUUGCACUCUGCAACUCGAGUGCAUGAAGUCGGAAUCGCUAGUAAUCGUGGAUCAGCAUGUCACGGUGAAUACGUUCCCGGGUCUUGCACACCGACCGGACGGUCGGGUGGGGG